Molecule: ribosomal RNA, 484 nt
Filed under: uncultured bacterium
Lineage: Bacteria
Description: partial 16S ribosomal RNA
Rfam family: Bacterial small subunit ribosomal RNA
Source: RNAcentral
AUUGAACGCUGGCGGAAUGCUUUACACAUGCAAGUCGAGCGGCAGCGCGGCCUUCGGGCUGGCGGCGAGCGGCGAACGGGUGAGUAAUGCAUCGGAACAUGCCCAGUCGUGGGGGAUAACACUUCGAAAGAAGUGCUAAUACCGCAUACGUCCUGAGGGGGAAAGCGGGGGAUCGCAAGACCUCGCGCGAUUGGAGUGGCCGAUGUCGGAUUGGCUAGUUGGUGGGGUAAAGGCCUACCAAGGCGACGAUCUGUAGCUGGUCUGAGAGGAUGAUCAGCCACACUGGGACUGAGACACGGCCCAGACUCCUACGGGAGGCAGCAGUGGGGAAUUUUGGACAAUGGGGGCAACCCUGAUCCAGCCAUUCCGCGUGAGUGAAGAAGGCCUUCGGGUUGUAAAGCUCUUUCGGCAGGAACGAAACGGUGGGCUCUAACAUAGUCCGCUAAUGACGGUACCUGAAGAAGAAGCACCGGCUAACUACGUG